Molecule: ribosomal RNA, 450 nt
Filed under: uncultured bacterium
Lineage: Bacteria
Description: partial 16S ribosomal RNA
Rfam family: Bacterial small subunit ribosomal RNA
Source: RNAcentral
UGGGGAAUAUUGCACAAUGGGCGCAAGCCUGAUGCAGCCAUGCCGCGUGUGUGAAGAAGGCCUUCGGGUUGUAAAGCACUUUCAGCGAGGAGGAAGGUGGUGAGCUUAAUACGCUCAUCAAUUGACGUUACUCGCAGAAGAAGCACCGGCUAACUCCGUGCCAGCAGCCGCGGUAAUACGGAGGGUGCAAGCGUUAAUCGGAAUUACUGGGCGUAAAGCGCACGCAGGCGGUUUGUUAAGUCAGAUGUGAAAUCCCCGGGCUCAACCUGGGAACUGCAUUUGAAACUGGCAAGCUAGAGUCUCGUAGAGGGGGGUAGAAUUCCAGGUGUAGCGGUGAAAUGCGUAGAGAUCUGGAGGAAUACCGGUGGCGAAGGCGGCCCCCUGGACGAAGACUGACGCUCAGGUGCGAAAGCGUGGGGCAGCAAACAGGAUUAGAUACCCUGGUAGUCA